CAGCCGCCGCGGGAAUACGUAGGGUGCAAGCGUUAAUCGGAAUUACUGGGCGUAAAGCGCGCGUAGGUGGCCAUUUAAGUCCGCUGUGAAAGUCAAAGGCUCAACCUUUGAAAGCCGGUGGAUACUUGAUGGCUAGAGUACGGAAGAGGCGAGUGGAAUUCCUGGUGUAGCGGUGGAAUGCGUAGAUAUCGGAAGGAACACCUGUGGCGAAAGCGGCUCACUGGACCAUUUCUGACGCUGAUGCACGAAAGCUAGGGGAGCAAACAGGAUUAGAUACCCCCGUAGUCCCUGUCUCUUAUAC
RNAcentral lists this ribosomal RNA (301 nucleotides) under uncultured bacterium. RNAcentral describes it as "partial 16S ribosomal RNA". It matches the Rfam family "Bacterial small subunit ribosomal RNA", at positions 509 to 807 of the family's 1533-position model. The record is from RNAcentral.